AGUAAGACAAAGCCUUGUGCACCAUUUCCCUAUCUGUAGCCAUGUCUAUGGGCCCUUGAGUUGGCCACCUGGGUUAGGGCCUGCU
RNAcentral lists this microRNA precursor (85 nucleotides) under Callithrix jacchus (white-tufted-ear marmoset). RNAcentral's name for it is "mir-571 microRNA precursor family". It matches the Rfam family "mir-571 microRNA precursor family". The record is from Rfam by way of RNAcentral. Lineage: Eukaryota; Metazoa; Chordata; Mammalia; Primates; Cebidae.